CCCUUAGAUGUUCUGGGCCGCACGCGUGCUACACUGAGUGGAUCAGCGGGUCAGGUUGCGCGAAAGUGUUUCCUAAUCUUUAAAUCCGCUCGUGAUGGGGAUUGACGGUUGCAAUUUUCCGUCAUGAACGAGGAAUACCUUGUAAGCGCGGGUCAUCAUCCCGCGCUGAAUACGUCCCUGCCCUUUGUACACACCGCCCGUCGCUCCUACCGAUUGAGUGUUCCGGUGAGGCUUUGGGAUCUGAGCGGAAAGAGCGUUUCGCUGUUUCUGCCCGGAAAACUCAGUCGAACCUUAUCAUUUAGAGGAAGGAGAAGUCGUAACA
RNAcentral lists this ribosomal RNA (322 nucleotides) under uncultured eukaryote. RNAcentral describes it as "partial 18S ribosomal RNA". It matches the Rfam family "Eukaryotic small subunit ribosomal RNA", at positions 1470 to 1796 of the family's 1831-position model. The record is from RNAcentral.